Molecule: long non-coding RNA, 281 nt
Filed under: Carica papaya (papaya)
Lineage: Eukaryota; Viridiplantae; Streptophyta; Magnoliopsida; Brassicales; Caricaceae
Description: long non-coding RNA (CPAP_LNC013987)
Source: RNAcentral
CAUGUCAGCAGCCUAGUUAGCAGCCCCGGCCAACCAGGACACGCCGCGUGGCAAGGAACGCUGACACGGGACGGGCCAUGUGGGCGAUCCGCGUGCGCGCGAUCGGAUGGCCCAGAUCCGUUCUUGCGCGCACGGACGACCCAGAUCUAACGCGUACGGACGGCCCAGAUUCAAUCAAGCACGGACAGCCCAGAUCGCAUCGCGAUGGAUGGCCCAGAUUUAAUCCCAAAUAAAUCGCGAUCGGAUGGUCCAGAUUAAAACUUGAUGGACGGUUGAGAUUA